UUGAACUCAAAACUUUGUAGAGGAUUGAAGUUAAAGGCCUUCACUUCAGUAGAUUUGAUUGUGGCUGAAGAUAAGAAAAGAAAAAAAAGAGAGAGAGAAUGUUGAGUUUGAGAAUUGAGAGAAAUGGCUGAGACUUGUGAGAAAGUUGAGACUUUGGUUAUUUGAGUGAUAACAAAUGGCUAUUGAAUGGCUAGUGAAAACUGAAAAAAAAAAAGAGAGAAUAUAUGCCCUUUAACAUAAUAAUUGAAUAUGCCAAAGAAGAAAGAAUCCCUCCAACAACAAAUUAGUUUCACUUUCAUGUGAAUUGAGCUAGCCAUGGAGGUGAAGUAGAUGUGAAAUAAAGCUGGA
Molecule: unclassified non-coding RNA, 348 nt
Filed under: Hevea brasiliensis (rubber tree)
Lineage: Eukaryota; Viridiplantae; Streptophyta; Magnoliopsida; Malpighiales; Euphorbiaceae
Source: RNAcentral